GUGCUGAGUGAGGCUGAGCCCCUGACCUUGAACCUGGGAUCCUACCCAUGAUCCAUCAGGGUACUACUGUCAGGGGUAGAUUCCUUGUCAU
This 91-nucleotide microRNA precursor is filed under the name Mus pahari (shrew mouse). Its description in RNAcentral is "microRNA 3070b (MGP_PahariEiJ_G0007638.1)". It matches the Rfam family "mir-3070 microRNA precursor family". The record is from RNAcentral. Lineage: Eukaryota; Metazoa; Chordata; Mammalia; Rodentia; Muridae.